Molecule: long non-coding RNA, 314 nt
Filed under: Brassica napus (rape)
Lineage: Eukaryota; Viridiplantae; Streptophyta; Magnoliopsida; Brassicales; Brassicaceae
Description: long non-coding RNA (BNAP_LNC012976)
Source: RNAcentral
CUCUUAAACGUAGUAUAUAAAAGAAAAUUAGGGGGAUGUAUUGAAUUGGGAAUUUGAGAAUGUUUGGAGUGAUUUUAGUUCUGGUGAGAUUUUGGAGGACUUUGAGUAAAUGUAGUUGAUUUUGGUGAAAUUUUAAAAAGAAAAGAAAACCCUAUUGACGAUUUGGAAAAAAUAUUUUUAGAUUUCAGAAUAGUUUAUCUGAUUUGGGAUUAUUUAUAAUUUUUCUUUUCUACAGCCGGAACAAGAUCAUAGUUAUAGUUAAAAUCGUCAUCUCAUAAAGUUCAAAUUAUCUGACAUCGUAACGUAAAUACAAU